UCGGGAAUAUUGCGGCAAUGGAGGAAACUCUGACGCAGUGACGCCGCGUAUAGGAAGAAGGUUUUCGGAUUGUAAACUAUUGUCGUUAGGGAAGAUACAAGACAGUACCUAAGGAGGAAGCUCCGGCUAACUACGUGCCAGCAGCCGCGGUAAUACGUAGGGAGCAAGCGUUAUCCGGAUUUAUUGGGUGUAAAGGGUGCGUAGACGGGACAACAAGUUAGUUGUGAAAUCCCUCGGCUCAACUGAGGAACUGCAACUAAAACUAUUGUUCUUGAGUGUUGGAGAGGAAAGUGGAAUUCCUAGUGUAGCGGUGAAAUGCGUAGAUAUUAGGAGGAACACCGGUGGCGAAGGCGACUUUCUGGACAAUAACUGACGUUGAGGCACGAAAGUGUGGGGAGCAAACAGGAUUAGAUACCCUGGUAGU
Molecule: ribosomal RNA, 424 nt
Filed under: uncultured Acetivibrio sp.
Lineage: Bacteria; Bacillati; Bacillota; Clostridia; Acetivibrionales; Acetivibrionaceae
Description: bacterial SSU rRNA
Rfam family: Bacterial small subunit ribosomal RNA
Source: RNAcentral